CACCAUGGGAGUGGGUUGCAAAAGAAGUAGGUAGCUUAACCUUCGGGAGGGCGCUUACCACUUUGUGAUUCAUGACUGGGGUGAAGUCGUAACAAGGUAACCGUAGGGGAACCUGCGGUUGGAUCACCUCCUUACCUGAAAGAAGC
RNAcentral lists this ribosomal RNA (146 nucleotides) under Salmonella enterica subsp. enterica serovar Senftenberg. Its description in RNAcentral is "partial 16S ribosomal RNA". It matches the Rfam family "Bacterial small subunit ribosomal RNA", at positions 1400 to 1533 of the family's 1533-position model. The record is from RNAcentral. Lineage: Bacteria; Pseudomonadati; Pseudomonadota; Gammaproteobacteria; Enterobacterales; Enterobacteriaceae.